UCAAACCCAAAAAGUUUCCAUUGCUAUCUUCGUACAAUUUCUCCUUAGAACCACGAAAGACUAAAUUAUGUUUAGCAAGAAAUUUCACUAUUGAAAUAACUCUUUUUAAAACAUUUUUCCAGUGAUCCUUUUCUUUCUCAAUUAAUCUUUGAGUUGUUUUAUCAAUAGUUUGAAAUUUUUGCAGCCUUUUGCGAUACUCAUACCAGUAGUAAUAUUUUUAACAUGUUCCAUGCCUAACUCGUGCUCUUUAAUUCUUUCACCAACA
Molecule: long non-coding RNA, 265 nt
Filed under: Lathyrus oleraceus (garden pea)
Lineage: Eukaryota; Viridiplantae; Streptophyta; Magnoliopsida; Fabales; Fabaceae
Description: Pisum sativum (pea) long non-coding RNA (PSAT_LNC039318)
Source: RNAcentral